CAACUUCAAAUACCACCCAUUUGGUUUCUUAUUUUUUUACUUUAGUAUCAUGUGAUUUAAAAUAUAUCAAUUUAGUACCCCGUGGUUUCAUUUUUAUCUUUUCAUCAGUCCCUCCGUUAUAACUUUUCAUUAAAUCAUAUACAAAAAACUUCAGAUAUCACACUUAUAGUUUAUCGAAUUUUACUUUAAUACCCUUUAAUUAGUUUUAACUUUGUUACUGAUUUACCGAAAAAAAAUUAGUGAAGGGAAUAACAAAACGGAGAAAAAUAAAACCAGGGUAAGAAAGUGAUACACUUUAAAUCAAAAAAUAUUAAAAUGAGAAAGUAUGAAACCACGGGAAUGAUAUUUAAAGUUUUUUCUAAAAAUAAUA
RNAcentral lists this long non-coding RNA (370 nucleotides) under Ananas comosus (pineapple). Its description in RNAcentral is "long non-coding RNA (ACOM_LNC010037)". The record is from RNAcentral. Lineage: Eukaryota; Viridiplantae; Streptophyta; Magnoliopsida; Poales; Bromeliaceae.